CCCCAGAAACCUUCUCUUUCACACUACACACAUACACAAUGCAUCCUUACACAUACACAAACUCAGAAACACACCAUGCUUCCCUUACUUACACAUAAUUCAUCCCUUACAUACACACAAGGCAUCCCUCUCUACACACACAAUUCAUCACACACACACACACACGCACACCUUGCAUCCCUUACACAUACAAACACAGAUUCACUCAAUGCAUACCUUACACACAAACACACACUGCUUUCUAUCCCUUACACGCAAUCACACUGCAUCCCCUAUACACAAACUGGUAUUCCUAUACACUACAUUCCAUAAGAACACAAACACAUUAAAUCCUCAACAAUAACACAUAACACAUCCCCUACACACAUACAC
Pelobates cultripes (western spadefoot toad) is the source of this 372-nucleotide non-coding RNA. The record is from the annotation of a GenBank genome assembly. NCBI's taxonomy places the organism in Eukaryota, Metazoa, Chordata, Amphibia, Anura, Pelobatidae.